Molecule: unclassified non-coding RNA, 400 nt
Filed under: soil metagenome
Description: partial contains 5.8S ribosomal RNA, internal transcribed spacer 2, and large subunit ribosomal RNA
Rfam family: 5.8S ribosomal RNA (bases 1-120)
Source: RNAcentral
GAUGAAGAACGUAGCGAAAUGCGAUACUUGGUGUGAAUUGCAGAAUCCCGUGAACCAUCGAGUCUUUGAACGCAAGUUGCGCCCGAAGCCUCGGCUAAGGGCACGUCUGCCUGGGCGUCACGCAUCGCGUCUCCCCCAAACCGCCAAGGCGGAGGGGAAGGCAGAUGGCUUCCCGUGCCUCACCCGGGCGCGGUUGGCCUAAAUUUGGAGCCCGCGGCACUUAGCUCUCGCGGCGAUAGGUGGUGAACAAGGCCUUGGCCGUGCAAACAACCCGCUGCGAAGCUCUAUGUCACGUGCGCUCGUCGGACCCUUUGAAGUUGCCUUUGGUGACUUAAAACCUUUGCGACCCCAGGUCAGGCGGGGCUACCCGCUGAAUUUAAGCAUAUCAAUAAGCGGAGGA